UACGAAGGGGGCUAGCGUUGCUCGGAAUCACUGGGCGUAAAGGGCGCGUAGGCGGCCGAUCAAGUCAGGGGUGAAAGCCUGUGGCUCAACCACAGAAUUGCCUUUGAUACUGUUCGGCUCGAGACCGGAAGAGGUAAGUGGAACUGCGAGUGUAGAGGUGAAAUUCGUAGAUAUUCGCAAGAACACCAGUGGCGAAGGCGGCUUACUGGUCCGGUUCUGACGCUGAGGCGCGAAAGCGUGGGGAGCAAACAGG
RNAcentral lists this ribosomal RNA (253 nucleotides) under uncultured bacterium. RNAcentral describes it as "partial 16S ribosomal RNA". It matches the Rfam family "Bacterial small subunit ribosomal RNA", at positions 524 to 776 of the family's 1533-position model. The record is from RNAcentral.